AGUGAACGCUGGCGGUAGGCCUAACACAUGCAAGUCGAGCGGCAGCACAGUAAGAGCUUGCUCUUACGGGUGGCGAGUGGCGGACGGGUGAUGAAUACAUCGGAAUCUACUUUUUCGUGGGGGAUAACGUAGGGAAACUUACGCUAAUACCGCAUACGACCUACGGGUGAAAGCAGGGGAUCUUCGGACCUUGCGCGAUUGAAUGAGCCGAUGUCGGAUUAGCUAGUUGGCGGGGUAAAGGCCCACCAAGGCGACGAUCCGUAGCUGGUCUGAGAGGAUGAUCAGCCACACUGGAACUGAGACACGGUCCAGACUCCUACGGGAGGCAGCAGUGGGGAAUAUUGGACAAUGGGCGCAAGCCUGAUCCAGCCAUACCGCGUGGGUGAAGAAGGCCUUCGGGUUGUAAAGCCCUUUUGUUGGGAAAGAAAAGCAGCAGGUUAAUACCCCGCUGUUCUGACGGUACCCAAAGAAUAAGCACCGGCUAACUUCGUG
RNAcentral lists this ribosomal RNA (492 nucleotides) under uncultured bacterium. Its description in RNAcentral is "partial 16S ribosomal RNA". It matches the Rfam family "Bacterial small subunit ribosomal RNA", at positions 29 to 507 of the family's 1533-position model. The record is from RNAcentral.